Non-coding RNA from Gossypium raimondii (Peruvian cotton), 87 nucleotides. Lineage: Eukaryota; Viridiplantae; Streptophyta; Magnoliopsida; Malvales; Malvaceae. The record is from Rfam.
CUCAAGGAAGCGCUUUGUCCACGUGGACAGAAAAUGCUUCCUUGAGGGAGCACUUUGUGUCCAAGUGGACAAAGUGCUUCCUUGAGG